CAGUAGCCGCGGUAAUACGUAGGUGGCAAGCGUUGUCCGGAAUUAUUGGGCGUAAAGGGCUCGCAGGCGGUUUCUUAAGUCUGAUGUGAAAGCCCCCGGCUCAACCGGGGAGGGUCAUUGGAAACUGGGAAACUUGAGUGCAGAAGAGGAGAGUGGAAUUCCACGUGUAGCGGUGAAAUGCGUAGAGAUGUGGAGGAACACCAGUGGCGAAGGCGGCUCUCUGGUCUGUAACUGACGCUGAGGAGCGAAAGCGUGGGGAGCGAACAGGACUAGAUACCCGUGUAGUCCCUGUCUCUUAUAC
Molecule: ribosomal RNA, 301 nt
Filed under: uncultured bacterium
Lineage: Bacteria
Description: partial 16S ribosomal RNA
Rfam family: Bacterial small subunit ribosomal RNA
Source: RNAcentral